CGCGGCCUAUCAGCUUGUUGGUGGGGUGAUGGCCUACCAAGGCGACGACGGGUAGCCGGCCUGAGAGGGUGUCCGGCCACACUGGGACUGAGAUACGGCCCAGACUCCUACGGGAGGCAGCAGUGGGGAAUAUUGCACAAUGGGCGCAAGCCUGAUGCAGCGACGCCGCGUGGGGGAUGACGGCCUUCGGGUUGUAAACCUCUUUCAGUACCGACGAAGCGUAAGUGACGGUAGGUACAGAAGAAGCACCGGCCAACUACGUGCCAGCAGCCGCGGUAAUACGUAGGGUGCGAGCGUUGUCCGGAAUUACUGGGCGUAAAGAGCUCGUAGGUGGUUUGUCGCGUUGUUCGUGAAAACCUAAGGCUUAACCUUGGGCGUGCGGGCGAUACGGGCAGACUGGAGUACUGCAGGGGAGACUGGAAUUCCUGGUGUAGCGGUGGAAUGCGCAGAUAUCAGGAGGAACACCGGUGGCGAAGGCGGGUCUCUGGGCAGUAACUGACGCUGAGGAGCGAAAGCGUGGGGAGCGAACAGGAUUAGAUACCCUGGUAGUCCACGCCGUAAACGGUGGGUACUAGGUGUGGGUUUCCUUCCUUGGGAUCCGUGCCAUAGCUAACGCAUUAAGUACCCCGCCUGGGGAGUACGG
This 643-nucleotide ribosomal RNA is filed under the name uncultured Actinomycetes bacterium. RNAcentral describes it as "bacterial SSU rRNA". It matches the Rfam family "Bacterial small subunit ribosomal RNA", at positions 232 to 885 of the family's 1533-position model. Lineage: Bacteria; Bacillati; Actinomycetota; Actinomycetes. The record is from RNAcentral.